AGCCAAGGGAGCGAGCUCCGGGGGAGAAAC
Molecule: small RNA, 30 nt
Filed under: Bombyx mori (domestic silkworm)
Lineage: Eukaryota; Metazoa; Arthropoda; Insecta; Lepidoptera; Bombycidae
Description: ovarian small RNA-12063
Source: RNAcentral